UCCAAGGAAUUGUCUGUGAUAGGGAGGUAUCGAAGCACAGAACUGGGGAAAGGUACAGAAUUAUUCUGCAGCGUAGACGAUCCCAAUGAGCACAGUGGCCUCCAUCAUCCAUACAUGUUUGAAAUGACCUGAACUCUUCCUAAAGCAUCAUAUCUGAAGGAAACCAUGCACCAUUCAUCACCAUUCACUUUGUGGUUCCAAUGGAGCUGCCUCCAGAUAAAUACAGGGAAGACCAAAGAACUGGUGAUGGAUUUCCACAGGCACAAACACACUUCAACACCACCAUUGAACAUUCAGGGAAAGGAUAUUGAGAGAGUGGACUCUUAUAAGCACCUGGGUGUUCAUCUGAACAUCAAACUUUACUGGAUAGACAAUACAGAUGCAAUUUCUAAGAAAGGGCAGAAGGAAGUCUAAGGUCUUUUGUUCUGCAGGUAGUACUACGAGUCUCAUCUUACAAAAUGUGAAUGUGAAGCACUAUGAAGCACUGUGAAUGCUAUCCGGAUGCACUGUACAUGAUUUUCUUAACAAUGAUUAGCUGAUUCAGAGACAUGAUGCUUUGAUUUUCUUCAUACUGUCCACUGUACAGUACUUAAGACAAGCUGUGCAGGUGAUCGCUCCAAAUAAUUUCAACAUUAAUGUAAAAUCUCAGCUAAGGCAACACCUAUAAAUCAAUAAGUGUUUAAUAUGAUCAAUAUGUUUUAUAUUUUGCCAGGUAAUUGACUUUAUUUCUACACUUGGCCAUUUACACAGAGAAUUAUAAAUAGUACAAAUAGGUGAGGUAAAUCUCCACUUUAGUAUUAUUAGUACCAAGACACUGGCUUUAAAAAAAAUGAGGAUUAUAUACAGUAUAGGUCAGUUCUUUUAACUAUAGAAAAAUAAACAGCAUAGAGAUGGAGGAAACAAUUCUGUUCAGUUUAAACUGUGGUAAACCAUGUCAUGUAAAAUAAACUAAAGUUGCCAUUG
Long non-coding RNA from Tachysurus fulvidraco (yellow catfish), 963 nucleotides. RefSeq lists it as uncharacterized. The record is from RefSeq and is a predicted model, not a curated record. NCBI's taxonomy places the organism in Eukaryota, Metazoa, Chordata, Actinopteri, Siluriformes, Bagridae. The transcript has 2 exons.